This 11029-nucleotide long non-coding RNA is filed under the name Medicago truncatula (barrel medic). Its description in RNAcentral is "long non-coding RNA (MTRU_LNC006070)". The record is from RNAcentral. Lineage: Eukaryota; Viridiplantae; Streptophyta; Magnoliopsida; Fabales; Fabaceae.
CCUAUUUAUAUAAAUGCUGCAUUUCGUGCAUCUGCCAACAAUGAAGCCUAUUUAUUCAUGAACAAUGAAUAUGUAUUGAUUAAUUAUGCUCGUGGAAGCACAAACGAUUAUAUUAUAAAUGGGCCAUUAUAUAUUUGUGAUGGAUAUCCAUCACUUGCCCGUACACCAUUCGGAGAACAUGGAAUAGAUUGUGCCUUUGACACUGACAAAACCCAGGCUUACAUUUUCUCUGCAAACCUUUGUGCCUUGAUAGACUAUGCUCCAAGAACCACAGAUGACAAAAUAGUCUCAGGUCCUAUGACAAUUACUGACAUGUUUCCUUUCUUCAAGGACACAGUGUUCGAAAGAGGGUUAGAUGCUGCAUUCAGGGCACAUAGUAGCAAUGAAGCUUACUUGUUCAGAGGAGGACAUUAUGCUCUUAUAAACUAUUCAUCCAAGAAACUCAUUCACAUUGAAACCAUUAGACAUGGGUUUCAUAGUUUGAUAGGUACUGUCUUUGAGAAUGGAGUUGAAGCAGCUUUUGCUUCUCACGCGACCAAGGAAGCUUAUCUCUUCAAAGGAGAGUACUAUGCAAAUAUUUAUUAUGCUCCAGGCACAACUGAUGACUACCUUAUCGGUGGUAGAGUCAAGCCUAUUCUUUCCAAUUGGCCCUCGUUGAGCAGCAUACUGCCACGCGACAAUGGUAGGCUUGACCUUCGUUCUCAUAAGGAUCAUACAGAUGAAGACUAUGGCCCCGUUGAACUUUAAAAGUACUAGCUGCAAGGAGCAUUCAUCAGUUUGCUAUUUUUAUGUUUCUGUUUUAGUUGCUUUUCUAUUAAGUUGCCCAUGUUUAGGGAUUUGUUGCUUGCUAGUACGUGAGGCAUUUUCUCUAUUUUCUUGUUUGUCAGUUGUAGAGCUAAGUCUAUAAACUUGGCCAAGUUUCUGUUUUGUUGAAUAAAAGAAUAAGAAUGGGUGCUUCUGAUCCACAGGCUACACAUAUAACUAUAUUUAAAUCGCCUGAAUAACAAUGUCUUCAGAUCUGCAACGUGGAUGACGCCAAAGUCAUUGAUUGGAUCUGCACUGGAUCGAAGCUGAUCUGACAAUCUGAACCGAUCAAAUACCUGAGAGAAACAAGAAAAACAAACAAUUUCGCAAAAAGACAACGAACAAACCAACGUCACACGAAGAUGACGAAAUCACAAAAUAAAAAACAAAGAAGAUGUGACAAACGAGAGGGAUGAUUUUGGGUCAAAAAUUGACCUAAAUCACCCAUCUUUGGUGGAUGAAAGAGAAGUAACUAGAGUUUAGGUGACGGCUCACAAGAGAGAAAGGGAAAAGAGAAAACUUAGCAUACAUUUGGUAUUUGUUUUUGAUAUUGGAGGCAAAUUUAAUUUUUUCUCAAAUUUCUACUAUUCUAGCUCAAAUCACUGUCUACAUUUAUAGGACAUUACUCAAUAUUUUUAUCAAUAUUGAUAUAAUUUAAAAUAUUCCAUUAUCUUAAAGAAAUUAAAUUUCUUUUAUCCUUUAACUUAUUUCAAUUAUCUACCUAACUUCAAAAAAAUCUUAUUUUGAUGAAAAUAUAACUAAUGAGAUCACACAUUCAUCUGAAAAAUCUUUUCGUGUUGUGUAAUCUUUAUACAUAUUUGAUCAAUUAAUUAAUUAAUUAAUUCUACUGAGGUACGUUUUGAACAUCUUUUACAAUAUUAUUUUAUUUGAUUCAAAAAAUUUAAAGCUUUAGAUGAGGAUGAAUUGAAAAGUCAUUGAAAAAGUUUUUACGCUUUAAUAGAUAUUUUGAUAUUGAUGGUCUUAAUUUAUUUUCAGAAUUGAAAGUACUUUGAGAAGUGUUAAUAGAAGAAAUUAGCUAAGCGCACCGAUAGAAGUAUUGACUUAUAUUAAAACUCUAAAUAUUUUUUCCAAAAUGUUUGUAUUGCAUAUAGAAUUUUAUUUACAAUCUUGGUAGUAACAAAUGCUACUGUUAAAAUAAGUUUCUCAAAAUUAAAAUUGCUUAAAUAAAUCAUAUUUAAGGUCAACGAUUGUACAAGAUUCUCUACCAAAUCAUGGAGACUAAUACUAGUGGUUCUAAUUUUCAAAUCAAAGAUGGAAAAUCAUUUCUUUCUGUUUUUCAAGUGGAUGCAUCUGACACCCAGAUCAUUGUCCCUGUCUCUGCUCAUAAUGUACAAGAAAUUCCAUCUUGUGAUGUUAUGAUCUUGGUUCAAGUAGCACAUCAUCAUGAAAGUGGUGGAAUUUCUUCUCAACUUGAUCACAUGAAUGAUAAUAUUGGCAGACCAAAGAAGAAUGAUGAAAAAGGUAUCGACGGUGUCUAUUGCACCAUAUCAUGUGAUCAUGAUUACAGAUUGAAUGAAGAAAUUGGAAUCUAUUGCACUAGGUGCAGCUUUGUGAAUAUAGAGAUAAAAGAUAUAACACUACACUUUGUAAGUCAAAUUCUUUACUAUAUUGGCUUAUAAAAAAAAAGUUUUUGAAAAUUCUUGAAAGUUUUGAAAAUCCAAACAUUCGGUUUGAUUAUUCAUACAUAAAGUUUUGUUUUCAAAAGGUCCGGUUGAAUAUUAAUAUCAGAUAUUUUGAAUUCUAAAACCGAAAGUUUGAUCUUUCAAAAUAUCCGGUAUUAAUAUUUAAAUCGGACAUUUUAUAAACAAAACUUACAAAAUUGGAUAUUUUUAAAACUUUUGAUAUAUAUAUAUUUUUUUAACUUUAGUGCUCGCUCCGUCCAAGUUUAACUAACUCAUUUGUAAAAAAAUAUUGUCCCAAGAAUCUUGACUCAUUUCACUUUUCAAUACAACAUUAAUUUUUUUUUUUCAAUUAUAACUCUAAUUAAUAUUACUUUCACAACUUUCAAUUCAAUAUAUUCAACUUUACAUUUAUGAUAAAGAAGAAUACACCAAUACUUGAAAAAGGCACUCAAAACUAAUUUUCUCUCUCUUUCCUUUAUACACUUUUCUUAAUCUCUGUGAAAUGGAAAAUUGGCUCAGUUAAACUUAAACUGGGACAGAGGGAGUAUAUGAUAAGGCAACAAAAAUUUAGCUCCAAAUCAUAUCACACUAGAGUUCGAUCGCAUACUUCUUUAAAGAGGAGAGUUGUUGAAGCUCAAGCAAGGGUGACCUUUUUGCAAUUAGUGAUGAAUGAGUUCAAGCAAGAUAUUCAUCACAAAUUGUAGGAGGCUGGAAUGCACGAGGCAGAGUAUCAAUAUGUGCCUCAACAAGCGAGAAUGAUCAGGAUGAUGUAGGAGAGUAUCCAUAGUAUUUUUAUUUUAGCUUAAUUUUAAUAAUUUUCUGUUUUUGUUUUAGUUUGUUAUUUUCGGCCCAUUAGAGUUUUGUUAUUUCCUUAUUUAAGCUUAACAAUUGUAGCCUGUUUGGUUCGAGAAUUGGGAGAGGAGGGGGAGGGAGAGGGAUUUUAAAAUUAUUUUACCGUUUUACCCUUAAACUUAAUUAAAUAAAAGAAACUACUUGAUUUUACGAUUUCAGAGAUAGACGAAUGACAAGCACACAUCUAAUUUGCUUAUUUUAGCUCAAACUGACUCAUAUAUUUUACACAACAAGACAUGAAUCGGUAAAUUAACAUUGAAAUAAAAAAGGAACAACAAACAAUAAUAAGUUGAAUUAAAAUAAGAUAAUAAUAAUAAAGGAACAACAAACAAUAAUAGUUUUUGUUUCUACCUUCCCGACAAAUAAACCAAGAUCAUGAUCGACACCAAUUAUGUAAGUGUGACAUUUUUUCCAAUUUUCUCCGCUACAUACUUCGCGUCCCCAACCGGUAUCUAUCCAUUCCAACCAUUGAAAAUACUUUUCCGAAUUUCCCAAGUCUCCGGACAUGUUGCAAACAAAUGGCUUACUGACUCAAGGUCAUUGAAACAAAACACACAUUCUACACUCUAGUAGAAUUUUUCUCAAGCAAUAAUCUCCAUCCGAAUAAGCGCAACUUAUAGAUGGAACCGACGUUUUCCAAAGGCGUUUCACAGCUGCAACAAAAUCAUAAUCGGUAUCCACUUCUGUCACAAGCCUUGACAGCAGCACAUAGCUGCAAAUUACUGUGAAACUUGCCGCUCGAUCGGUUGUCCAGAUAAAUGAGUCUGCAACAUUAUCUUGCAGCUGCACAUGUGUUAACUUUAGAAUGUCAUCCCAAGCCACUUAAGAUUUUUUUCACUGGCUUUCCCUCAAGGUCGGCAUCUUGUCACAGGAAAAAACGAACCCCCCUUACCUAACACGCGGAUCUUAAUCUAGUGUAAUCGUAUAUGUGAGUUGAGAUUCAUCAAUCAGGCUCAAUCCAUUGGCUAAAUGAAAUAUCACAACUCACAUGACACUUUUUCAUUUUCUUUGGAGCAUUCUUUUAACAACUCAAAUAAUUCCAUGAUAAUAACUUCAAUAUAUUUUACAUCAUCAAAUACCUUCUUAUUUAUACAACACUUUCUUUUAGUUUUCACAGUGAAAAUAUCAAGGAAUAAUUAAUUAAUAUGCACACAAAUCCAAUUCAGAAUAACACACACACAUAUAGUCUUAGUUUCAACUUGCAAAUUUUAUUCUUCUGACAUAUUGUACCAACAUGUACAACAUAAUUUAAACCAUCAAAUUAAGAUUACAAAUAACCUCAGAACAGAAAGAUAGGUUCUUGUUGUUGUGAUGUAUUAGUAUCCCUUUGGUCCUUUCCCUAGCAAAGUCAGCAAGAAUUCCAUGUAGUCACCCGAGGUAUCUCCAAUGACAUCUUCAUCAAGACUACUUGAUUUGUACAUGUUAGCAUACUCGAAUCUCACUUUCAACAAGUCGAUUUCAGCUCGAGUUACAAUAGCUCUGUUGAGUGAAUCUUCAUCAGUUCCUAGCCCGACAAUAGAAUCCCUUAUAACCUGUUGGGCAUAGAAGUGGACCAAAAUGAAAUUGCAAUCACUUUCUGAAUGAGUAAUCUUGAUAUAGCUUCAAAGAAAUUAGAGUAAAUGGAUACUUUGAUAUUUUAAUGAUGAAAUGUCAUAAUGUUGGUACUCCUAUAAAAAUAUUCGUCAAAAUAGUCCUAUGAAACGACUGCAUUGAUGUCAAAAUUUGAUCUUAGAAACCACCUUAAUGAAAUUUUCAUUAGAAGAUCGAACGAAAGAUACAUUGUAUAUUUGAAAGAAAAAAGGAAUUAGUGUAUAUAUAUAUAUAUAUAUAUAUAUAUAUAUCAUCUCAAAAAGAAAAGGAAGGAAAAGAUUGAAUGAAACAUUACUGUCAUGUAUAAUCGACCAUCUUUCAAAGGAAAAAGUUCAUUGUAGAUGUUUCUUUUAGAUUUUGAGAGGUUUCAAACACAAUUCGAUUAGAAGCAAGACAAAUUUGCUUUGAUUAAAAGUUUCAGAAAACACAUAAUAUGUGUCGGAGUAUGCAAUAUCGUCUUUGCAUGGAGAAGAAUCUCAACUAAACAAGCUAAAUUCUCAAUGCGAGCUAUCUGUAACCUAGACAACUAGCAUGUGUAACAUAUCUAAUCUUAGAAAAUAAUCAUUAGUGUGUAAUGGGUCGGAGCCGGCAUCUGCUCCAACACGGAACCUAAACCUUCGUAAAAUCAUAAAAUCAAUAAAACUUCUAUAACAAUUCUAACAAUUCAUAACAACCUAGACCUAAACAAUUCUAACAUCAAUUCUAACCUAAACCUAAACUAUCAUAAAAUCAAAAUCUAAACCUAACAAUUCUACAACAAUUCAUCAAAACCUAAACCUAAACCUAAACUAUCAUAAAAUCAAUAAAACCUCUAUAAUUGAAAUUUAACAAAAAAAAAAAAAAAAACUAACAAUUUAAUCACAAAACAGCAAUACAAUAGGAUUCAAAACACUUACUUGAUUUUUGCUUAGAAUUGGCUUAAGCUUGGUGAAAAUCGCACUUAGGAAUAUCAAAAACGCAACAAUGGAUUUUGGAAACUCAUAUAUACUUGAUUUUGCACUUAGAAUUGGCUUGGAAUGACUUAAGCUUGGUGAAAAUCGCACCUAUGAAUAAAAAAAACGCAACAAUAGAAUUUUGAAAAUUCAUGUUCUGUUCUUACAACAAGAGACUUUUUGUCUUUUACAUGUGUUUUUUUCAGUCUUGUCAAAUGCGUGAACAAUUUUCUAAUUACAUUAUCUAAGAAUGGAUUCAAAGUGUCAUGCGUCAAAUUUUGAUUGGCAAGUUCGGAUUUCCUUUAGUUGCUUCCAAGAUAAGAUCAAUCUUUCAUUAGACAAAUAAAAAACGUUUUUUAAAUGUCAAGGGAUAUUUAUUAAAUGUGCGUCUUGUGUACGUGUAUAUAUAUGCAUGAAGUAUUGGGCACUAUUGCAUACACCAUCCAUCCAUCCAUAUAUACAAAAGUGAAUUAAGAUCAUCAUGUCUUCAAUCCCUCCAAGUUCAGAAGCCAGAGUGUGUGCAGCAAACUUUCCACUGCCGGUGAGGCAAGAAGACAUAGCAGAAGCCCAACGUCUGGCGAGCAAUCUUGACCGCGUUAACCGACCGAUCUUGGGGCAUGAGGUUGCGGGCAGAGUGGACGACUUUGAAUUUGAUAUCCGGCGUCCAGUGUAUCGAUGGACCACGAGGCCUUACCAGGAGAUCUUAGCAAACGGGUUCCAAGCACCAGCUCAAGGAAACACUCCCAACAACACUUACUAUAAUCUUGACGACUUUGUCCAUAAUGCUGGGGCGCCUCUUGACCCCAACAGGCCUGUAGCUCAUGUCUUUAUUAGCACCACUGUUAAUAAUGCAUGGCGCCCAAAUCCUUCAACUGAUGUCCUCCCGAUAGGAAGUCAGAUUCAAUUGUAUCGUUAUGAGAUCUUUGCUCCUGGUGGUAUUUGGGUCGCUGUCUCCCUUAUGGGUCGCUAUCAGCACCCUAAUCAAGCUGAAAUUACCUUUGUUGCUGGCAUCCAACCUCAAUACAUUCGCUCUGUUCAAAUAUACACCGCCACGCGUCGGGCACCCGGGUUAGUAUUUAAAAAUGAAUGACAAUGACUAAUUUCACAUAUAUAUCUUUUUUUUUUUUAUAAGGGAGUGAUAUUUGGACAACCGAAAUCAAACAACUUUAGUGACAACCUUUUUUUUUUUUUUUUCUCUUCUUGAGUUUAACUAUCAGCUAAAAGCUAUCAACUAUCCGCUAGCUUAUAAGCUAUCCGCUAUUUUUAGCAAAGAGAGCUUUAAACAGGGCCAUCUUAACAAAUUCAUAGGCCCGGUUUUAAUUUUAGGGUUAAAUAUGUUUUUGGUUCCUAUAAAAUAGGGACCUUUCAAGUUUAGUCCUUACUUAAUUUUAAUGGUUCUUUUAGUCCCUAAAAAUAAAAAUCUGCACUCACUAUUAGUCCCUCCUCAAUUCAAAUUUGUUGCAUAGGAACUUUUAGUAAUGUUCUUAACACGUCUGUAAAAAAUUGUUCAAAAACUCAAGAGUUUAAACAUAAAUUAAACAAAUUUGAAUUGAGGAGGGACUAAUAGUGAGUGCAGAUUUUUAUUUUUAGGGACUGAAAGAACCAUUAAAAUUAAGUAAGGACUAAACUUGAAAGACCCCUAUUUUAUAGGGACCAAAAACAUAUUUAACCCUUAAUUUUAUAAGGGAUGCAAAAAAAAAAAAAAAAAUCUGGGCCAAAAAAAAUAAAUAAGUUAUUUUAAAAAAAAUAAAUUAGAAAUCACACCUGGUGGGUCUUGAACACAUGACCUCACACUCAACAAAAAGCGACAAUGCCACUGAAGCAAGCUGCACAAAUUGAAAUAGUUUUCUUUUAAUAGAUAUAUAACCAUUAUUUUCGUGUCUUGCAUAUAAAAAAAAUAUUUUGGGUCCCAAAAAAUUGGAGGUCCGGUGUCGUCACCCAGCCUCGACGGGCUAUGGGCCGGCCCUGUCUUUAAACGCAUAACAUUCAUGUUUCGGUCAUCACUCAUUUCCAUGUCCAUUUAGAGUGAGGUACGUUUAGUACUAUGCCAUGUCAGCGCCUCCUUUUUAAAUUUGUAGUUUAGGACAUAAAUUCAUAUUGCAUAAUUUUUUUAAACAAUAAAAUUACAUAAAUCGUUAGAUAAAAAAUUUUCUCAAUUAAAUUAUUAAAUUGAAAGUCAUCAUUAUUCUUUUGUUGUUCUUCUCAUCUUCUUGUUCUUCAUUUUCAUUUUCAUCUUCGUCCAUGUUCAUCCUUCUUCUUCAUUCAUCUGUUUUUCCCCACCACAUUUCGAUUCCUAUCAACAAAUAAAUAAGCAAAACCCAUAAACUAACAUCCAAAAACUCAUCCCAAACCACAUAGAAGGUUGCAGAGGCUGUGGCAGCGGUGGCUUACAUAAUUUAAUUUUUAUUUUAAAUUAGAUUUUACUUUGGAAGAUAAAUAAAAAAUUAUAAAAAGUUUAAGGCCUACUAUACAAAUUUUAAAACUUCUCAUGACAUGACAUUACUGACACUUUCUUAUUGGCUAAAACUAAAGGGGCAACCUAUCCCCCUAAAUCACAUGUGCCUUUAAUUUCAUAAAUCGAAUUUUGGUAAUAUGUUUGGCAGAGCCGUCUUAACAAAUUCAUAGGCUUGGUUUUAAUUUUAUAAGGGACGUAAAAAAAAAAAAAAAUUCUACGCCCCAAAAAAAUAAAUAAGUUAAUUUAAAAAAAGAAUAUUAGAAAUCACACUUGGUAGGUCUUGAACAUAUGACCUCACACUCAACAAAAAGCAGCCUUGCCACUAAAGCAAGCUGCACAUAUUGAAAUAAUUUGCUUUUAAUAGAUAUAUAACAAUUAUUUUUGUGUCUUGCAUAUAAAAAAAAUAUUUUGGGCCCCAAAAAAUUGGAGGCCUGGUGUCGUCGCCCAGCCUCGACGGGCUAUGGGCCGGCCCUGAUGCUUGGUAGUGGAGAUAGUAUAUAUAUAUAUAUAUAUAUCACCUAAAAAUACUAAGGAUCUGUUUGGUUCGAGAUUUUUGGAAGGGAGGGGAGAAUUUUAAUUUGAUGUGUUUAGUUCAAUUUUAAGAAUGGAAGGGGAUGGCAGCAAAUUUUAUUGCACUGCCAAAAUUAUCCUUAUAAUAAUUUAAAAUCUCAAUAUUAUCUUUAUAACAACAUUUAUUAUUAUUAGGUUAUAUUAUCUUGAAACAACAACAAUUAUUAUUAUUAUUAUUAUUAUUAUUAUUAUUAUUAUUAUUAUGUUAGCUUGUUUAAUAUUGUAACGACUUUUAUUAUUAUUAUUAUUAGGUUAUAUUAUCCUUGUAACAACUUUUAUUCCAUAUUAUUAACAACCUUUCCUUGUAACAAUUUUUAUUGCUACUUGUAACAACCUUAUUACUAAUCCAUUAUUUCGUCUUCUACAUCGUAGGCUUAUCGAUUACAUCGUGAUUGUUUCGUUACUUUGUUAUCCUUAUUUAAUUAAGCCUAAGGAUAAAACUGUAAAAUAAUUUUAAAAUCUCACUCCUCCCCUUGCGGACCAAACACGUUUUUAAUUAAAAUAUCUCCCAUCCCCUCUGUUAAAAUCCCUCCCCUCCCUUCCUAAUUCUCGAACCAAACAGACCCUAAAAUGUAAGUUAGCAGGUUACACCCAUUUAUAUUUUACUAAAUUACAUUAGUUUUAAAUAAAAGGGCAAUUUUGUAAGGAAAUAAACGUUCUCCUAUUUUUGCGGCAGAGUUUCAGGGAUUUUGGAUUACUUUGUUCUAAGGACUCCUGAUUACUUUUUCUUUGUUUCGUAUACAUUUGCAUGCAUAAACAAACCAUGAGUGCAUUGACUAGUAAAGAAAAACUCGAGUUUAUUUUUUUUCUCUUUAAAAAAAAAAAACAAUGGCAUGCUUAAGGGACAAAACAUGUAAUAUGGAUAAACUUUCAAGAAAACAAUAUUUGGAAUGAUGAAAGUGAGUGUAAAUUAGUGAAGUUUGCUAACUUGCAUCUUAAUAAUACUUAUAAAAAUGAGUGUAAAUAAUCGAAUAGGUGUAGGUUGCUAACUUGCACCUUAAUAAAUUUUAGGUGAGUGUAACUUGCUAACUUGCACUUUAGUGUUUUUAGGUGGAUGUAAGUUGGCGGCCCCCAUAUAUAUAUAUAUAUAUAUAUAUAUAUAUAUAUUAAUUUCAUAUUUUCCUUUAAAGAGAAUUUAAUUUAAUAUUUGUAAUUGUAACAACUAAAGAAACAAGUUCAAAAAAAAAAAAAAACUAACCUGAAUUUUCUUAUCUUGAAUUAUACAAUGUAGGUUUCCGACAAUGACAAGAGAAAGAAGAUUGAUAAUGAACGGUCAUUUCCGUCCACACAUGGAUCUUCAAUUCACAAUUCAUACACCUAUAACCUUUUACAUUGAUGACAAUGGGAUACGACGGGAGCUGCCUGAAGAAACUUAUACACCUCAUGAAAGAGAUCAGGUACAGAAAAGAGAUGUAUCAUCAUCUCAGGAUAAUGAAGAAGUUGAGUUGCAUAGCUAUGGCGCGGUGGAAAAUAUACCUAUUUAUAUAAAUGCUGCAUUUCGUGCAUCUGCCAACAAUGAAGCCUAUUUAUUCAUGAACAAUGAAUAUGUAUUGAUUAAUUAUGCUCGUGGAAGCACAAACGAUUAUAUUAUAAAUGGGCCAUUAUAUAUUUGUGAUGGAUAUCCAUCACUUGCCCGUACACCAUUCGGAGAACAUGGAAUAGAUUGUGCCUUUGACACUGACAAAACCCAGGCUUACAUUUUCUCUGCAAACCUUUGUGCCUUGAUAGACUAUGCUCCAGGAACCACAAAUGACAAAAUACUCUCAGGUCCUAUGAAAAUUACUGACAUGUUUCCUUUCUUCAAGGACACAGUGUUCGAAAGAGGGUUAGACGCUGCAUUCAGGGCACAUAGUAGCAAUGAAGCUUACUUGUUCAGAGGAGGACAUUAUGCUCUUAUAAACUAUUCAUCCAAGAGACUCAUUCACAUUGAAACCAUUAGACAUGGGUUUCCUAGUUUGAUAGGUACUGUCUUUGAGAAUGGACUUGAAGCAGCUUUUGCUUCUCACGGGACCAAGGAAGCUUAUCUCUUCAAAGGAGAGUACUAUGCAAAUAUUUAUUAUGCUCCAGGCUCAACUGAUGACUACCUUAUCGGUGGUAGAGUCAAGCUUAUUCUUUCCAAUUGGCCUUCGUUGAAGAAGAUACUGCCACGCAACAAUGGUAGGCUUGAUCUUCAUACUCAUAAG